Leopardus geoffroyi (Geoffroy's cat) is the source of this 801-nucleotide non-coding RNA. The record is from the annotation of a RefSeq genome assembly. NCBI's taxonomy places the organism in Eukaryota, Metazoa, Chordata, Mammalia, Carnivora, Felidae.
ACACAUUCCCAGAAAAGCCCUCCGUCUGCCCUGCCCCUGCCAUGAGCCUCGGCCUCCUGUGCUGUGUGGCCCUGGGUCUCCUGCAGGCAGGGCCCGUGAAUGCUGGCAUCACUCAGACCCCCAGAUUCCAGAUCCUGGGGACAGGACAGAGCAUGACGCUGAGAUGUGAACAGGACAAGGACCACGACUACAUGUCCUGGUAUCGACAAGACCCUGGACAUGGGCUGCGGCUGAUCCAUUACUCCGUCAGUGCUGGUACCACCGAGACAGGAGAAAUCUCCAACGGAUACAACGUCUCUAGGUCAAAUACAAAGAACUUCCCUCUCACGCUGGCGUCCGCAACUCCCUCCCAGACAUCUGUGUACUUCUGUGCCAGCAGUGACUGCACAGCGCUGCACAGCUGUCUCCUCUCUGCACAAAAAAAGGCAGGGGGAGGGCCUGCGCCCCAGGACUCAGCAGAGCCCUCGGCACACUCCCGGCCCCCCACCCCGACCCGAGCCCCAGAGCCCCGAGGGGCCCAAGCACCCAGAGUGAACCUCGGUGUGGGCUGAGGUCCGUCUGCAAGGCACUGACAGCCUGGCCUGGACCCGACCAGACCUCAGGCGGCCGUGUCUCCACCUCUGGUCUGUGCUCUGAGCCGCCUGGCUGGCUGCGAAGGUGCUUCCCCAGCUCUGACUGUUCUACCCCCUGCCUAAGUCUGAUGCUUCCGGGAUGGAAAUUGUUUGCACUGGGUAAACAACACAAUGUGUUAUUAACAAUGUGUUAUGAAAUCAGAUCUAUCUAGACGCCCCCCUCCUUGUC